UUCACAGUAGCUCAGUGGDAGAGCUAUCGGCUNUUNACCGAUCGAUCGUAGGUUCGAGUCCUACCUGUGAAUCCA
This 75-nucleotide transfer RNA is filed under the name Azospirillum lipoferum. RNAcentral's name for it is "partial transfer RNA-Asn". It matches the Rfam family "tRNA". Rfam says of the family: Transfer RNA (tRNA) molecules are approximately 80 nucleotides in length. Their secondary structure includes four short double-helical elements and three loops (D, anti-codon, and T loops). The record is from RNAcentral. Lineage: Bacteria; Pseudomonadati; Pseudomonadota; Alphaproteobacteria; Rhodospirillales; Azospirillaceae.